Molecule: transfer RNA, 73 nt
Filed under: Symbiochloris sp. SG-2018
Lineage: Eukaryota; Viridiplantae; Chlorophyta; Trebouxiophyceae; Trebouxiales; Trebouxiaceae
Description: tRNA-Phe
Rfam family: tRNA
About the family: Transfer RNA (tRNA) molecules are approximately 80 nucleotides in length. Their secondary structure includes four short double-helical elements and three loops (D, anti-codon, and T loops). Further hydrogen bonds mediate the characteristic L-shaped molecular structure. tRNAs have two regions of fundamental functional importance: the anti-codon, which is responsible for specific mRNA codon recognition, and the 3' end, to which the tRNAs corresponding amino acid is attached (by aminoacyl-tRNA synthetases). tRNAs cope with the degeneracy of the genetic code in two manners: having more than one tRNA (with a specific anti-codon) for a particular amino acid; and 'wobble' base-pairing, i.e. permitting non-standard base-pairing at the 3rd anti-codon position.
Source: RNAcentral
GUUCAGGUAGCUCAGUAGGUAGAGCAAAGGACUGAAAAUCCUUGUGUCGGCGGUUCGAUCCCGCCCUUGGACA